This 62-nucleotide transfer RNA is filed under the name Aphaena amabilis. RNAcentral's name for it is "tRNA-Leu". Lineage: Eukaryota; Metazoa; Arthropoda; Insecta; Hemiptera; Fulgoridae. The record is from RNAcentral.
ACUAAUUUGGCAGAUUUAAGUGCUUUAAAUUUAGAAUUUAAUUAUGUAUUUUACAGUUAGUA